AUUGAACGCUGGCGGCAGGCCUAACACAUGCAAGUCGAGCGGAUGAAGGGAGCUUGCUCCUGGAUUCAGCGGCGGACGGGUGAGUAAUGCCUAGGAAUCUGCCUGGUAGUGGGGGAUAACGUCCGGAAACGGGCGCUAAUACCGCAUACGUCCUGAGGGAGAAAGGGGGGGAUCUUCGGACCUCACGCUAUCAGAUGAGCCUAGGUCGGAUUAGCUAGUUGGUGGGGUAAAGGCCUACCAAGGCGACGAUCCGUAACUGACCUGAGAGGAUGAUCAGUCACACUGGAACUGAGACACGGUCCAGACUCCUACGGGAGGCAGCAGUGGGGAAUAUUGCACAAUGGGCGAAAGCCUGAUCCAGCAAUGCCGCGUGAGUGAAGAAGGUCUUCGGAUCGUAAAGCACUGUAAGUUGGGAAGAAGAGCAGUAAGUGAAUACCUUGCUGUUUUGACGUUACCAACAGAAUAAGCACCGGCUAACUACGUG
RNAcentral lists this ribosomal RNA (484 nucleotides) under uncultured bacterium. Its description in RNAcentral is "partial 16S ribosomal RNA". It matches the Rfam family "Bacterial small subunit ribosomal RNA", at positions 30 to 507 of the family's 1533-position model. The record is from RNAcentral.